UGGCUACUGCAUCAGUUACAAUAUAAUAUAAAGUCUGUACACACCCCUUCAGUGAACAAAUGAAUGAUACAUCAAAACUAAGAUACAUAAGGAGGAAUUAAAGAAUUGACCUGACUGCUGAUUUUCAACUACAGACUUGACAUUGUACUGAUAAAGCAGCAGUAUAAGAGAGACCUAAAAAAUUCUCACUCUUCAAGCAGGCAUCACAAAUUGAAGGGAAACAAAAACCAAGAUCACAAAAAUCUUGGAUCAGAUUGAAGAAGACUGCGAAAUGCAAAUACCAAUCAUGGCAUAUGUACCCGUAAAAGUAGGUAGCUUUAUCAAGAAACUGUGUGAAACAAUGAACUGCAAUAUUGAGAACACAGGGGACACCACCUUUGUUUCGAUUCAGAUUUUAGAAGAGAUCGACCUUCUUCUUGUGGAUAUCUUGCUUCCAUUUAGGCA
Molecule: unclassified non-coding RNA, 444 nt
Filed under: Hevea brasiliensis (rubber tree)
Lineage: Eukaryota; Viridiplantae; Streptophyta; Magnoliopsida; Malpighiales; Euphorbiaceae
Source: RNAcentral